UUGGUAAAUCUCGUGCCAGCCACCGCGGUUAUACGAGAGGCCCUAGUUGAUAGACACGGCGUAAAGGGUGGUUAGGGAUAACUAUUAAUUAAAGCCGAAGACCUCCAAGUCCGUCAUACGAUCUCGAAGGCACGAAGUCCCGACACGAAAGUAGCUUUAUUCCCCCGACCCCACGAAAGCUAAGAAACAAACUAGGAUUAGAUACCCCACUA
RNAcentral lists this ribosomal RNA (212 nucleotides) under Brycon melanopterus. Its description in RNAcentral is "partial small subunit ribosomal RNA". Lineage: Eukaryota; Metazoa; Chordata; Actinopteri; Characiformes; Bryconidae. The record is from RNAcentral.